Molecule: ribosomal RNA, 252 nt
Filed under: uncultured bacterium
Lineage: Bacteria
Description: partial 16S ribosomal RNA
Rfam family: Bacterial small subunit ribosomal RNA
Source: RNAcentral
UACGUAGGUGGCAAGCGUUGUCCGGAAUUAUUGGGCGUAAAGCGCGCGCAGGCGGUUCUUUAAGUCUGAUGUGAAAGCCCACGGCUCAACCGUGGAGGGUCAUUGGAAACUGGAGAACUUGAGUACAGAAGAGGAAAGCGGAAUUCCACGUGUAGCGGUGAAAUGCGUAGAGAUGUGGAGGAACACCAGUGGCGAAGGCGGCUUCUGGUCUGUAACUGACGCUGAGGCGCGAAAGCGUGGGGAGCAAACAGG